GAUGAACGCUGGCGGCGUGCCUAAUACAUGCAAGUCGAGCGGUAAGGCUUUCACAGAUUAAUUUAAACGGGUAAGUCUAAGAUGAAAAUCAUAGAUACUAUCCUUCAACACUCGUUUCCCGGCUAGGAAACACAUAAUGGUUGAAUAAUGUGUGAAAGUACACGAGCGGCGGACGGCUGAGUAACGCGUAGGAAUGUACCCCAAAGUGAGGAAUAACUGCCUGAAAAGGUAGCUAAUGCCGCAUAUGGUCCACGGAUUAAAGCCUUCGGGCGCUUUGGGAGCAGCCUGCGUAUGAUUAGAUAGUUGGUGAGGUAAAAGCUCACCAAGUCUACGAUCAUUAGCUGGUCUGAGAGGAUGAUCAGCCAGACUGGGACUGAGACACGGCCCAG
RNAcentral lists this ribosomal RNA (389 nucleotides) under uncultured bacterium. RNAcentral's name for it is "bacterial SSU rRNA". It matches the Rfam family "Bacterial small subunit ribosomal RNA", at positions 28 to 334 of the family's 1533-position model. The record is from RNAcentral.